UACGGAGGGUGCAAGCGUUACUCGGAAUCACUGGGCGUAAAGGGAGCGUAGACGGCUGAGCAAGUCUGAAGUGAAAGGCGGGGGCCCAACCCCCGGACUGCUCUGGAAACUAUGUUACUGGAGUGCAGGAGAGGUAAGCGGAAUUCCUAGUGUAGCGGUGAAAUGCGUAGAUAUUAGGAGGAACACCAGUGGCGAAGGCGGCUUACUGGACUGUAACUGACGUUGAGGCUCGAAAGCGUGGGGAGCAAACAGG
This 253-nucleotide ribosomal RNA is filed under the name uncultured Eubacteriales bacterium. RNAcentral describes it as "uncultured Clostridiales bacterium partial 16S ribosomal RNA". It matches the Rfam family "Bacterial small subunit ribosomal RNA", at positions 524 to 776 of the family's 1533-position model. Lineage: Bacteria; Bacillati; Bacillota; Clostridia; Eubacteriales. The record is from RNAcentral.